RNAcentral lists this ribosomal RNA (253 nucleotides) under uncultured bacterium. RNAcentral's name for it is "partial 16S ribosomal RNA". It matches the Rfam family "Bacterial small subunit ribosomal RNA", at positions 524 to 776 of the family's 1533-position model. The record is from RNAcentral.
UACGUAGGGCGCAAGCGUUGUCCGGAAUUAUUGGGCGUAAAGAGCUCGUAGGCGGCUUGUUGCGUCGGUUGUGAAAGCCCGGGGCUUAACCCCGGGUCUGCAGUCGAUACGGGCAGGCUAGAGUGUGGUAGGGGAGAUCGGAAUUCCUGGUGUAGCGGUGAAAUGCGCAGAUAUCAGGAGGAACACCGGUGGCGAAGGCGGUUCUCUGGGCAUUACCUGACGCUGAGGAGCGAAAGCAUGGGGAGCGAACAGG